This 495-nucleotide ribosomal RNA is filed under the name uncultured bacterium. RNAcentral's name for it is "partial 16S ribosomal RNA". It matches the Rfam family "Bacterial small subunit ribosomal RNA", at positions 28 to 507 of the family's 1533-position model. The record is from RNAcentral.
GACGAACGCUGGCGGCGUGCCUAAUACAUGCAAGUAGAACGCUGAAGGAGGAGCUUGCUUCUCUGGAUGAGUUGCGAACGGGUGAGUAACGCGUAGGUAACCUGCCUGGUAGCGGGGGAUAACUAUUGGAAACGAUAGCUAAUACCGCAUAAUAGUAGAUGUUGCAUGACAUUUGCUUAAAAGGUGCAAUUGCAUCACUACCAGAUGGACCUGCGUUGUAUUAGCUAGUUGGUGGGGUAACGGCUCACCAAGGCGACGAUACAUAGCCGACCUGAGAGGGGGGUCGGCCACCCUUGGACGGAGACACGGCCCAGAAUCCUACGGGAGGCAGCAGUAGGGAAGCUUCGGCAAUGGACGGAAGUCUGACCGAGCAACGCCGCGUGAGUGAAGAAGGUUGUCGGAUCGUAAAGCUCUGUUGUAAGAGAAGAACGAGUGUGAGAGUGGAAAGUUCACACUGUGACGGUAUCUUACCAGAAAGGGACGGCUAACUACGUG